Molecule: long non-coding RNA, 6103 nt
Organism: Terrapene triunguis (Three-toed box turtle)
Lineage: Eukaryota; Metazoa; Chordata; Testudines; Emydidae
Exons: 3
Source: RefSeq, a predicted model, not a curated record
GUGUGAGUCUCAAAAGCCAGCGUGGCUCUUAGCGAGCUCCUGUAGAAAAACGCUUUCUAGCGACUCUUUUCCAUGCUUGUUUGUCUGACAUUUGUUUGUUUUUAAAGCAGAGGAAGUAGGUGAAGAAGAAGAGGAAAAGAUGCAGAAUGGAAAGGACAGAGGUUAGAUGGAAGAACCCAGACUGCACAGUAAUUCAAGCACAGAGGGUUAUGAAGCGAGCUCAUGUUCUAACGAAGUCUCCACAUCCUUUGGAAGAGGCGUGUUUCAGCCGAUACAUACACCAUUGUGCAACUGUGAAAGAUCACAACCAACCACCUGCUGUAAGGGAAGGGAAAGGAGCUUUCUUUUAACUGACUGAAGGGCUUUCCCUCUGGGCAUUUUCCUCUCAGACUAUUGCAUGUACUAUUUUCAUAGGUGUUUGCCAAUGCUAAUCGGACAAUGCCCCAUCAAAAAUUCAACAAAGCGUUUUUAUGGGAGGUUUCAAAAGAAAACUGUUCUCUUGUAAAGUGCACUGAUCUCUUCUGAUUUCCUACCUGAGCAGUGUCAUCUCAUCAUGCGCCGGUGGUUUCACUCAUGACCGUUGACUUUGGAUGUGCAUGUAAAAUGGAUUUUAAACCAUUUGAGUUUUCCUGUGUGUAAUACAAAGGGAACUCUGAGUACAGAUCCUUUAAAAACACACACUUUCUAAAAAUACCACUCUGUCUAUUAAUGUUUGGUUGCCAUAGUGUUUGAUACUGCAUGUCAUUCUGAGAGUAAAUGACAGGGCAUGCCAAGAGUAGAGGAAUGCAGAGCAAGGAGGGGGGAAUGGCUGUAAUUAGGACCAUAAAACUUGGAUGAGAUGCCUCCUGGGGAUUCCCAACUCUGUGUAUUUUUCUUUUAGACUCUGUUAAAAAUUACUUGAAUGGUUCUUGGCAAGCAAGGGAAUUCAGGGAUGACCACUGCUAGGUUCAGAUUAGUGCCUGCACAUUCAUUUGCAAGAAGCAAGUAUAUUUUUAUUUAAAUUUAAGGAGAAAUAACAAAGUUGUAUAGUCGGAGGUUUGAAACUCACCACUACCUGGAUCCUUGCUAGACUCUCUAGUUUUGUAGCUACUUAGAAAACAUUGUAAUCAGUUCCAAUCACUAGUGAUUUUAUUUUAUUUUAUUUUUUCUUGGUGCUUAGGAAUGUUAUUUUUAGCAGAAGAGCUGAGUGCCCUAAUGCAUCUAUAAAUAUUUAUCAAGGGCGAUGAAUGGAACAGAGUGAUAAACCCUGAAACCAUCCCUCAGCUUUUCUCCCUGUCUCAUCUGAGAUGCAACGUUGGUUCUUGGAGGAAAGAGCUCGUUAGGUGCCUAUAACUCUUUGGGGGAGAGAAAAUAAACAUACAUGGUGGCCACAGGUUUAGUCAAAUAUAAAUAUUGUGAAUGAGCUGUCAAGAAGGAAAGAAAAGUGAGGAUAACCUGGUUCAGUGUGUUAGCUUUAGCCUGCCAAACACCACACACUUGGAAGGGUUCGUGGCUGUCUUUGUACACGUUUUCAGUACGAUUAGCUGAAUCAUUACCCAGACGUUACUCUGGUUGCAGCUGUACAGAUGCAAGAAGGGGAUGUGUGUUCUGGAAUUUUUAAGGAUGAAAGUUUUGCUAGUGGCCGGCUCAAGGACCUGCCGGUAUAGACAGGAGGCCAUCGGUGGUUAGAGACACUGUGACUGUGGCUUCAUCAUAUCUUCACUGUGGACCCUCUUUUUUGUCCUUGAUUUUCAUGCACUUCUUCCCCUACUUACCACCCUGAUGCCCAAAGUCUGGUUAGUAAAAUGCUGGCUUCAGAUAAGUUUCCAUUGCUCCAGCUGUGAAUGGACCAGCAACAGCAUAGAGUACCUGGGAUUGCUCUGUCUCACCCACCAAGCCUGCUUUCAGACAGGCAAAGGUCCUCUUGACAUUUAACUUCAAUAACCACAGCCAAAGCUGUGUGCAGAAAUCUGUGUGGAAGGAAAUAUGAAUUGUGAACUAGAAUAGGCCUUGGGGGAUGCUGAAGAUGAACUGGAAAUAGGCAGUAUGUGGUACAGUACAUCUGGGAGAGGAGUAGAUGAAAGUUUUUGCCUUUUGGACGUUCCGAAUGAAAACAUAAGUUUUUCUCUCCUAAAUGCCAAUAAUCUGGGUUAGAGUUACAGUGGAAGGGGAGACGCUGUACAUCAGCCAGUGACUAUGAUUUACAGCUUUUCUAGAGAGACAAGGUUGGGGAGGGGAUAUCUUUUAUUGGACCGACUUCUGUUGGAGAGAGAGACAAACUUUCAAGCUAGUCCCACACCCACCUUGUCUAAUAUCCUGGGACCGGCAUGACUACAACAACCGUGCAUAUUGCAGCUUUUCUGUCACAUGAUUACAGUGUGAAAGCCAGCGACAUGGACAAACCAAAUAGCCGCUCGUUCUUUUUUGAUGUUUUUCCUGUUUAUUCAUUUGCCAACGCCUCACUUUUGUUGCCACCAUUAGUCUAAUAUUUAGAGGCUAAAACUUCCACUGUAUCUGCUCGUUUUUGCAGCUCUUGGAGGUGAAGACACUUCUCCCGAGAAGAAAGGGAAUAUCGGUCCCUAUAGGCUGUCUACUCUGUAACAGAUCUACAUGACAGUGGUUAAACCAGCAGUGGUUGCCACCACCUUCUCUACACUGGGGCUCUCACCAGUAGAGCUGAACCAGUGGUAACUGUGGUGGGAAAUAUUCUAGUGCACAUAAGGCCCCAGUGUCUGUGAGUUGGGAGCAGAGGUAACUGUAGUAUGAUGAUGGUGAUGCUACGUUUCUAUAGCACUCUCCAUCCCGAAGGACAGUCAGGUGCUUUGAUCACAGAUUUUAGAUAGUGAGAGGUCGUUGUAACCCCCCUGCAGUGGAAUAGCGAUUUCACAGCACAGAGCAGCACCACCAGGACCAAAUGCACUUUGUUAGUUCUGUUGUUUGCUGCCUACUAUAAAAGGAGGAGCAUUUCCUCUAUCGAAGUUCCAGGAAGCUCAUUUCACUUGUGCACAGGCGUUACAAUACUAUGAUCAUGUCUUAGCCUGUUGUAAGCUCGGCUAAGGAACCUGUGACAGCAUUUUCUGUAUCAGACUAUUAGAGAGUUUGCUUACGCUUCUCUUUACGCUGAACUCUGGGAUUGAAGAGGCAAGUUCCACUGUGCAGUGAAACGUAUCAUUUCUGCAGAAAGCUGUGGCAUCUGCUUUUUGUUCAUAUAACUCUUGACAGGCUCAAUGGGCUUUUACAGCCAGAGACAGUGCAUAGUCUGUGUAUAUUAAUGUGACCCUGUGUGCCAUGGUUCUGGAUUACCUCACCCACAGUGCCAUCUAUUUUAGUCUACAAAGUGUUCAGCAAAUGCUUCAUAUUAUUGUAAUGAGGGGGUCUGCAGGUUGCUUUUCAGUGAUACUGUAAGCCUGUCUUACCUGAUGUGAUACCGAGAGGAUGUCAUGGGUUUACCUGACCACCUCUUGCACAGAAGCCAUUUGUGUGUCACUCUCAUGCUAGAGUCGCUGGGGGGAAAAGGCUUUUUUCCCCAAGCACCUUACAAUGUUAAUACGCCCUGCAAGUAGGAAUGGUGAACUGGGGAAUUAAAUGUCAGGGAGCAGAGAGCCAAUGGGUCAUUUACAAACUCCAAGGCCAUUUCCCCAUAGGUGAUCAUUAAGGCCUAAACUUCAGUUACUUUUGUCCUCAUUAACCUGGUACGCUCCCGAGAGCUUCACUCUGCCGUUUGCCCUGAGUCAAGAACAAGGUUGCCAUCCAGCCUUAUCCUGUUGCCAUGGUGCUGCUAGGGAGCGCUAGCCAGCAAUUCCUAAAGAGAACCUGGGGAGGGGGCUGCAGAACAACCUUGUGAUGUUGCCGGCUGUCGUGACCUGUCUUUGGGUGGAACUGGAGCUCUGCUUCCCGCUCAUUGGUACUCAGUACUGAUACCUUGGGUGAGCCCCUCCUAGCCACCUUCCAGCCACUUUGUUCUCCCUUCGCUCUGCCAUGGAGCUGAGACUGCUCCAAAUGCCCGUCUCCUGAUGGCAAGAGCAGCCCAGGCUCAGGGGAAGGAGGAAGGCACAGACCGGUACAGCUAAGCUUUGAAUGUGACUAAACAGGUACCAUUGCCCAGAGCUUUUAGGAACCCCUGCAGCAUGUCAUAGUGAGAUAACUGAUGUCAGGUCUUGUAUGCACGGCAAGUUACUAUGCGGCAAGCCAGGGUGUGAAUCUACAGCCCACCAGCUUGCCACACUCGGGGACAUGGCUUCAGUGCAGUGAAAGUCCUGUGCUGGAGCAGUGCCCACAGCAAGCUGGAGUGCUAUAGAGUCACCCCCUGGCUUGCCAUGCAGUAACUUGCUGUGUGGACAAACCCUUGGUGAGCACAGCGUAAUUCCUAUGUGACGUGCCGUGACGCCUGGGACAGCGCCUCACUCCCCAAUGCAGAGCACUUGCUGUGGUGACAUGACUUGACAUUGUCUGGAAGAAAAUAACUCCCACAUGUUAACUUUGGAAACUCUGCUUAGAAACUAUUGUUUGCCUUGCAAUAACUGCCUUAAAGCCCCUGGGCUCAACCUUCCAGGCCAGGCUUUAAUAUAUUUUACUGGGCUGUCUUCUCUGGCGUUACUUUACCCCACUCUAGGCACACAUGCCCGCACACUUUAUUAAGUCUGUUUCUAACCUGUCAGCGAAAACAGCGUUUUCCUACCCAUCUGUGCUAGUCUUCACUGGACACAAAAUUGAACCUUUGGAGCCUGGGUGAUGUUCUGCUCCACUACACCAGAACGACUCAGCCCCAGGUCAGUGGAGUAGUAGCCAUGUAACAGAGCUAAUUCUGGUCCUGUGUGUAAUAUAGAUACCCUAUAGAACUCUAGCAUGCCACAUAGAUGUGGGAUUGAUACUGAUGUAAUAAACUGCAGUAAAGCGGGUAUCACCCACACUCUGCCCUCUGGCCCAUCUCUGCUGGGACGCCUUCAGACAUUCCACACCCCUGAGCAGCUUCAAAAGGCUGCCAUUGGAAAAAAAGGCAUCAAAGAGAUGUUUCCUUUUUUCCUUCAGGUGUGGAGCUUUUUCUGCCCAUGUUCCUGUACGAUUUUCCCAGGAUGUGUAAUAACAUCAGAGUCACGAGCCAAAGAUACAGGGCCUGAUACAAAGCCCAUUGAAGGCAACAGGAGGCUUUGCAUUGCCUUCAGUAGGCUUUGAUCAGGCCCAUUGUGCAAAGCCACAGUGCUCGUUAACGUGCAGUAUUGCCAUGGCUCUGGCUAGACGCUGGCUAGGUACUCGGGAGAAGAGAGGAGUUUGACAGAAAUCAUUGUCCGUCUCCAGUGAAGCUGAAUAACUGGUGACGGUGUCUCAGUGACGUUUGGUGUGGAAAUGUUGGCUGUUUGUUUUGCAUCGUCCUCCUAUUUCACGUCUUGGUGAGCUUUGACCAAAAUGCCUGUUUUCACACUGGAAACAGACAAAAAUUCAUAUUUUGCAGCCAUCUCUGCUCAAUGCGUCCUAUUUUUUUUUUAAAUCGCCUUGUUUUCACUGGGAAAAGGGCCCGUUUUUUGAGCAAAUACUGUACAAAACAGUGAAGGGGUUUUUUUGUGUGGAAGGGGGGCAAAUGGACCCAUUCUUGUCUUCACAAUGCACUGCCAUAGGGUGGCAACAGCAGCCCUAUGGCAACCUCUGCGUGUGGUGGGGCCUUGGGCUCCCCAUCUGCAUCCAAGUGCAUGUCACUUCUGCAGUCUGGCCUACUUCUGUUCUCUAAGAAAUGACCCCUCCGAAGUGCCGUACCUAUAAAGUACAGUUUAUCCCUGCUCUGCUCUGCUCUGUUUGUAAGGGAUGCUUGAACAUGCUCUUGGGGCUGAAACUUCAUUGCUGGAUGUGGGGCUGUGCCCCCAAUUCUUGUGUUUUACAUGGAUACUGGGGUGAUUUAUUAAAGAAGAGACUGUCUCCAAUGAAGGCUCAGCCACUGUAUGUAAUAGUGCAGACUAAGGACUAUGCUAUGUGUAAACAGGUGCAGUGAAGGUGACCGGAAGGUAUGUCCACCAUGCAGAACUGCAGCAUAAAGACAACAGCUGCGACUAAGCCUCCCAAUUAAUUGUCGCUUGGUCUGAGGAUUGUAACUAGCUCAGAUGUGGCUAGGAGAUUACGCCUCCCACAGGUGGCG